GUGGGGAAUAUUGGACAAUGGGGGGAACCCUGAUCCAGCCAUGCCGCGUGUGUGAAGAAGGCCUUUUGGUUGUAAAGCACUUUAAGCGAGGAGGAGGCUACCGAGAUUAAUACUCUUGGAUAGUGGACGUUACUCGCAGAAUACGCACCGGCUAACUCUGUGCCAGCAGCCGCGGUAAUACAGAGGGUGCAAGCGUUAAUCGGAUUUACUGGGCGUAAAGCGCGCGUAAGUGGCCAAUUAAGUCAAAUGUGAAAUCCCCGAGCUUAACUUGGGAAUUGCAUUCGGUACUGGUUGGCUAGAGUAUGGGAGAGGAUGGUAGAAUUCCAGGUGUAGCGGUGAAAUGCGUAGAGAUCUGGAGGAAUACCGAUGGCGAAGGCAGCCAUCUGGCCUAAUACUGACACUGAGGUGCGAAAGCAUGGGGAGCAAACAGGAUUAGAUACCCUAGUAGUCC
RNAcentral lists this ribosomal RNA (451 nucleotides) under uncultured bacterium. RNAcentral's name for it is "partial 16S ribosomal RNA". It matches the Rfam family "Bacterial small subunit ribosomal RNA", at positions 354 to 796 of the family's 1533-position model. The record is from RNAcentral.